UAGAACUAGCAAUACAGGAUAAACUAAACGUAGGGUUAAGGUGCUAGAAUGCACGCUUAUUAGACACUAUAAAAGGUGUUAGUUUAUCUAGACAGCAGGAUAGUAGCUAUAGAAGUUAGAAUCUACUAAGGAGUGUGUAAUAACUUACCUGCUAAAUAAACUAGCCCUAAAAAUAGAUAGCGCUUAAGCGUGUUACCUAUACCCUGCUACUAGGGCAAGAUUUAAGCCCUAGCAAGUAGGCAGGCGUAGAGGCUCGUAACAAAGCCUUAGGGGUAACCCUAGGUAGAACAGCCUCUAGUAUAGAUCUUAGUAGUAGUAGCAAAUACUUAAAUAAGAACUUUAAGGACUAAAGUAGGGAAAGGUUCUAUAUAAAUAGUAGUUAGACACAGGUUAGUUAAUCCUAAGAGAUAGGGUAAUUCUAUUUUAAUAUUAGCGCUUGCGCUACGCCCUUAAAAGGGAAGCUAGUUAAUAUUCUAGCACCUAGAUAUAGAUUCUCUACGGCAACGUAACUAAGAGCGGAGACCUUAGUAGGAGCCCUAAGAAGAGUUCUCUUUUCUUCUUAAUAGUCUAUUACCCUAAAAUUAGUUUAUCUAGAGCUAGGGUUUAAUAGCUAGAAGAGCGCUACACUUUUGUAGUAUUUAGUAUACUCCUAAUAAGCCUUAAAAAUCAACUUAAAGAAAUAGUUUUUACGCUAGGUUGUACUUAUAACUAUAGCAGGUCUCUAAGGUAAAAAGCCUCUAGUUAAUAGAAUAAUAUAGAUAAGAGAAGUUAGCAAAAUAGAUCUAUAACUUUAGGAAAAGGAUUAGCUCUAAGGGUUAGGUACGUUAGGCCUUAGGGAGAAGCCUCUAGCGCAGAAGGGCACUAACCGCAAGGUAGGCGCCUCUUAGCGCUAGGGUGCAGACACCCUUAGUAGGUUUUAGCUAUCUAGCGUACGUUUAACAACUAACUUAGAACUAGUAUAGAUAAGGGGAAUCUAACUAUCUAAUUAAAACAUAGCAUUAUAAUAGCUAGAAAGUAGUAUUAACGCAAUGUAAUUUCUGCCUAGUGCUCUAAAUAUUAAAGCAAAGAGAUUUAACUAAGCGCAGGUAAAUAGCAGGAGUAACUAUAACUCUCUUAAGGUAGCUAAAUACCUUGUUAUCUAAUUAGUAACGCGCAUAAAUAGAUUAACAAGAUUCCUACUAUCCCUAUCUACUAUCUAGCAAAACUAUAGCUAAGGGAACAGGCUUAGCUAAAUUAGCGGGGAAAGAAGACCCUAUUAAGCUUAACUCUAGUUUAACAUUAUAAAAAGAUAUAGGGGGUGUAGAAUAGGUAGGAGCUUUAGCGCUAGUGAAAUACUACUACCCUUAUUGUUUUUUUACUUAUUUAAUAAAGCAGAGCUAGGCCUUACUACCUAACUUCUAGCGUUUAAGGUCCUUUGUAGGCUAAUCUAGGUUAAAGAUAUUGUUAGGUAGGGAGUUUAGCUACAGCAGCACAUCUAUUAAACUAUAACGUAGUGUGCCGUAGUAAGGGAUAUAUAGGAGAAAAACAAGGCUUAGCCUAAAAGGUUAGGUGGAUUGAAUAGUAUAAAGGUAUAAAGGAUUAGAGGAUAGGAUAGGUAUAAUUCCUGCAGACUUUACUUUAACUCUAUAAUAUUAUCUUUUUACUUAUGUUUCUAUAUUAAACCUAUAUCCUCUACUAUAGGGUCACUACUAUUAAACCUUGCCCCUCCUACUUCUCCUUGUUUAAAUAGGUUACUCUCCCUGUUAGUUUAAAUAGCAAAGCCUAAGGGGAACUUAUCUUAUCUUAGUAAAGGGGAGGGCCUAGUAGCAUGCAACCAAGAGGACGUUUCUCUAAGUAUAAGGAGGGCAGAGAAAAAUUAAAAAAUAGGUGGUAUUAAUAAUUAAUAUUAUUAAGGCCAAAAUAGUAGGCCUAUAUUAGGACGUAGCUAACGCGCGUUAGU
This 1939-nucleotide ribosomal RNA is filed under the name Plenodomus biglobosus/Leptosphaeria biglobosa 'brassicae' group. Its description in RNAcentral is "eukaryotic LSU rRNA". It matches the Rfam family "Eukaryotic large subunit ribosomal RNA", at positions 1145 to 3401 of the family's 3401-position model. Lineage: Eukaryota; Fungi; Ascomycota; Dothideomycetes; Pleosporales; Leptosphaeriaceae. The record is from RNAcentral.